CAGAGACUUGCCUGCAGCUCCUUGAUCUUCUUCUGUAACUGCAUGCCCAGGGCUUGCUCAUCCUCAAUUUUGCUCUGGAUCUGGCUGAUUUCAAAGUCUUUCCUUUUGCACAAGAUACAUGGUGUUAGUGCCUGAACAAAACAUCUAAGUGUACCCAUCCAGCACUCAGAUGUCCCACAACCACACUUACUUCUUCAGUUUCUCAUCCAGCUGCUGUUUAUCAUUUUCCAAGUCCAUUAUGCUAUCAUGAGCCAACUUCAGGUCUCCUUCAAGUUUCCUC
This 280-nucleotide long non-coding RNA is filed under the name Gallus gallus (chicken). Lineage: Eukaryota; Metazoa; Chordata; Aves; Galliformes; Phasianidae. The record is from RNAcentral.